CCUACGGGGAGCAGCAGUGAGGAAUAUUGGUCAAUGGGCGGGAGCCUGAACCAGCCAAGUCGCGUGAGGGAAGACGGUCCUAUGGAUUGUAAACCUCUUUAGGCGGGGAGCAAUGCCGGGCACGCGUGCCCGGAGGGAGAGUACCCGCAGAAUAAGCAUCGGCUAACUCCGUGCCAGCAGCCGCGGUAAUACGGAGGAUGAGAGCGUUAUACGGAUUUAGUGGGUUUAAAGGGUGCGUAGGCGGAUUUUUAAGUCAGCGGUAAAAUGUCCGGGCUCAACCCGGGCCGGCCGUUGAAACUGGGGAUCUUGAGUGGGCGAGAAGUAUGCGGAAUGCGUGGUGUAGCGGUGAAAUGCAUAGAUAUCACGCAGAACUCCGAUUGCGAAGGCAGCAUACCGGCGCCCGACUGACGCUGAGGCACGAAAGCGUGGGGAUCGAACAGGAUUAGAUACCCGGGUAGUC
Molecule: ribosomal RNA, 460 nt
Filed under: uncultured bacterium
Lineage: Bacteria
Description: partial 16S ribosomal RNA
Rfam family: Bacterial small subunit ribosomal RNA
Source: RNAcentral